GGCGGCGGCGGCGGCCCCCCUGCCCUCACCAUGAACCAGACGGCGGGAGUGAGCAACAGCGUGCGCUGCCCCGCCGGGAAGGGCCCCAAGAACACAGCUCUCAUUCAGAUCUCUGGGCCUCCACAGCAGAAAAAGAAAAACAGGCACCAGACUCCUGACUGUAUUGCUUCUGCAGCAUAUGGAUAGUGGAAACAGGGACUCCUCAUAUGAUAUUUGUGUGGAUACCUUUAAGAGUGUUACGUAUAAGUUGUUACAUUUUGCCCCGGGAUUGCAGGAGGGAACAGCAAGACAGUAGUCAGGAUGCUACUUUCUGAAUAAACAAGCAUUAUUAUUAUAUUAGCUCAACUCCUGGGUCAUUUGAGAACAACACAUGGUACUAAGAGUGGGAUGCAAAGAAAGACAAAAAAUGGAGCAUCUCAGAAUCCAGAGGAGUUAAAGCUGUCCAGCGAUGCAGCCAAAAACUGGAAGAAAUUUAGGCAGAGCUUCACUAUAUACAUGACAGUGGAGCUACAGAGAAGGAAGAUUCAUUCAAGGUAGGGUUUUUUUUAAAUAUAGUAUACCCAGAAGCUCUUUCUCUUUACCUGUAGCGCUGACAGCCGAUGACUGUUAGAAGCAGCACAGAAAAGCUAUAGCAGAGUAAUUAAAACAUUGAGGAAUUUGAAAAUUGAAGAAAAUGAAACCUUUGAACAGUAUAAUUUCCACAUGAGACAGCAGACAGAAUAUGAGACAUUAGAAGGGUUUGUCAAAGACCUCAGACUGCCGACCCAGACAUGCAGCUUUGGAGACCUAAAAGAGUCCAUGAUCGGAGGCCAAAUAGUAUUGGGUAUAAAAGAUACAAGCCUCAGGAAAAGACUGCUAGAGGAACCUGAGCUUAAUUUGGAAAAGACAGUUGGAAUGUGCCAAGCGACUAAGAUAACAAAUUCCUGACUAAGAUGCUGGAGGAAAAAACAGAACAAGCUGAACUAGACAGGAUUAUAAAACUUCAAAAACCUAAGGCAACACGCAAACAAUACAGAAAGGAAGACCUCACUCUGAAGCAGGCAAGCGGAGGCCAAAGAGAAGUGCUUGAAGAAACAAUGGGUAGCUGCAGAUGCUGUGGAGGUUAUCACAAACACAUGCAAUGCCCUAUAUUUGGUAAGCACUGCAACAAAUGCAAAAGAUUCAAUCACUUUGCAAGAGUUUGCAGAAAGAAGCAGGAUGCAACACACUAGAAACAGAAGGUGCAUGCUAUAUACACCGAGGAAGAGGAAGAAUUCCUCAUUGGCACAAUGCAAGAAGAAGUUUAUUCUUCUGAGGGUUAGACACUCACGCAGAACACCAGUGGACUAAUGGUACAUUUAAAUUAGAUACAGGGGCACAGGUCAACGUAACACCAAAAUACAUUAUUCAAAAAAAUGAAAACUAAACCUGUGUACUAUGAGAAUAAGAAAAUAAGACUUAGAGCACAUAAUGGGAAUAUGAUUGCAACCAAAGAUGUUUGUGCACUGCAUAUUAGACACAAGGGUAAUAUAGUAAAAAUUGAAUUUGUAACAGCCCCAGGAAAGCUAGUGCCAAUGAUUGGGUUGUAGACAUGUAAGAGAAUGGAUGCCAUUGAGGGACUAGGAAGUAGAAUAUACAAGAAGAGUUUUAUGAUGUGCUUCAAGGCAUAGGGAAACUGUCAACUGAGUUGUUAAGAUAGAACUAAGAGAACCAAAUACUCCCAAGGUUCAUGAUCCAAGAAAUGUUUCCCUUGUACUAUGGGAGAAACUGAAAAAGGGAAAUAGAUAGAUUAGUUAACAUGGACAUAAUAGAAAAAGUAGAGCAACCAACUGCUUGGGUUCAUUCACUGGUCAUAAUAGGAAAAAAUGCUCUCUGAGAAAGGGGUGCAAAUUGAUUCUGCAAAGGUUAAAGCCAUUAUAAACAUGCCAUCCCCUACAGAUAAGGAAUCAGGGCAGAGAUUACUGAGAAAGGUAGUUCCUUACAAAAUUUACCAACCUAACCUAGAGCAGGCCAAACACCUUAGAACAUUCCUACAAAAGAAGGCUCAGAGGAUUUGAGAACAUGAACAUGAAGCUGAAUUUAAAAACUUGAAGGAAACAAUAAUGAAAGCUUUGGUACUAAAAUACUAUGACCCUAAAAGACCCAUUAAAUUGUCAACAGAUGCUUCUAAAGAAGGGACUGGAGCAGUGUUGCUUCAGAAACAUGGGGAUAGCUGGAGACCAGUGGCAUAUGCAUCUAGGACACUAUCCAAGUCAGAGUGUUUAUGUGCACAGAUUGAGAGAGAAAGUUUAGCUCUGGAUGUAAGAAAUGUCAUAUAUUCAUCUAUGGGAAGCCUAUGAUAAAUGAAAUUAUUCAUAAACCUUUGGUAGCUAAAACAAAGAGUCAUCAGACAUGCUACCCAGAUUACAGAGACUUUUCUUUCAACUGCAAGAUUUUAGACAUGCAAUGCACGCCAAGAAAACAUCUACUUAUUGCAGAUAUGUUGUCCACUCCAGAGCAUAUGACACAAUGGAAAAUAACAGAAUUCCAGACUCAGACAUAGUGCAUGUUAAUCUAAUUAAAAGAGUGAUUCCUGUCAGAGGUAAAAUGUGGGCACUAAUUGCAGAAACUACUGCACUUGCAACAAGUCAUAACAGCCAUUUGUACUGGUUGGCCUGGAAACCAUAUGCCUAGCCCCUACUCUCAGUUCAAGGAAGAGCUGUCAGUACUGGAUGGCAUUUUUUUCGAAGGCUCGCAACAUGUUGUUCCAGCAGUGCUAAAGACAAACAUGUUAAACAGAAUACAUGAGGAACAUCUAGGCAUUGAAAAAUGCAAAAGGAGAGCAAGGGGUUCUCUAUAUUGGCCCAACAUAAAUAAUGACAUAGUAGAUGCUGUAAAGGCUUGUACAACAUGCCUAAAGUACAGAUCAACACAAAGAAAAGAGUCCAUGAUGGUCAUGGAGGAGCUCAGUGCUAUCAAGUGGGCAUUGACUUAUUCGUGCAUGCAGGAAAAAAUUAUGUAUUAGCACUGGGUUAUUAUUCUCACUAUCCUGAAAUUGCAUUGCUCAAAAGCACAGCAGCAAACCGUGUCAUAACUCUCAUCAUAUCGGUUUUUGCUAGACAUGGGAUUCACAAACUGUGAGAACAGACAAUGGACCUCAGUUCAAAUGUCUUGAUUUUAAAGAGUUUGCAAACGAAUAUGGAUUCCAUCACAACACUUUAAGUCCUAAAUACCCACAAUCCAAUGGUCUGGUGGAAAUUGAGUACAAAUAGCGAAGAAGUUGUUGCAAAAAAGUUACAUAUUCACACUCUGAUGGUUGCCUGUCACUCUUAAAUUACUAGUGGGCAACACCCAAGGAACAUGGAUUGUCCCCAGCAGAAACGCUGUUUAAAAGGAAACUCAAAUCCAGGCUGCCAAAUCUUGUAGAUGAUGCUCAUCCGAAUGGAAAGCAAAAUGUGAAAACAUUUAAAAAGAUUGACAAACUCAAACAAAAAUGGUAGUAUGACAGCAGUUCCAGGGAGUUACCACAACUGCACAGCAAGGAUAUGGUGCAUAUUUCAGAUGGACGAUUGUGGAAACAAAAAACACUAGUUUCCCAUCAAGUAGUUCCCAGAUCCUAUAAAGUAGUCGCACCAGAAGGGCAGAUGUUAAGAAGGAACAGACGACACUUGCAGCUCAUAAAGCGGAGAAAAGCAGCAGCAUCACAAGAUUCACCAAAGAAAACUGAACUAACAUCAAAGUAACAAGAAAUGACAGAGAAAUUUGAAAAUGACACAGAAGUAGAGACAUCUGAACAAAGAAACCAAAUAGGAACUGAACCAGUAAUGACUGAGACUGUAGAGAAACUGAGAAGAUCACUUAAAGAUAAAAAGCCAACACAAAGACUAAUAGAGAUCUGUUAAAAUGUGCUUUAACUAUGGGUUGAACUAAAUUUCCAAUGUUAGUAUUACAUGUAAAGGGGGAAGAUGUGCGAAUACAUUUAAGAGUGUUAUGUAUAAGUUGUUACAUUUUGUCCCAGGAUUGUGGGAGGGAACAGCAGAGCAGUAGGCAAGAUAAUGCUUUCUGAAUAAAUGAGCUUUAUCGUUCUAUAAGCUUAGCUCCUGGGUCAUUUGAGAACAACACAGUAUUGUGAGCAAAAAUGACCCUCUUUGACUGCAAUCCAAGCUUGUAUUGAGUUUGAGAAAGAAACUAAAGAAAACUUCAUUAG
This is a long non-coding RNA of Alligator mississippiensis (American alligator), 4165 nucleotides long. RefSeq lists it as uncharacterized. Lineage: Eukaryota; Metazoa; Chordata; Crocodylia; Alligatoridae. The transcript is spliced from 2 exons. The record is from RefSeq and is a predicted model, not a curated record.